Molecule: long non-coding RNA, 1379 nt
Filed under: Linum usitatissimum (flax)
Lineage: Eukaryota; Viridiplantae; Streptophyta; Magnoliopsida; Malpighiales; Linaceae
Description: long non-coding RNA (LUSI_LNC007741)
Source: RNAcentral
UCGGAAAUUCCCAAAUCGUCGACGAUCGCUUUUGGAACUCCGACGACGGCAACUGUUGGGGAUCGUCUCCUCCUCUUUGCGCUUGCUUCAGGGUAAGUGAAUCAUCUCUAUCAAUCCCCCUUGACUUUGGUUUGAUUGAACCCUGACUAACAAGACUCCGUGAUUCGAUUUGAGCAAAUCGGAGCUUCCGUCACGGAAUCUCGGAGAUGUGAGCAAGCAGGAGAAGAGUGUUGAGAAUAUAUCUACAAUUCUCUAUAUUAGUCUCUACAACUCUUACAAAAAUAUCUCAACUCCUAACUACCAAAUUAAUUAAGAUGUGAUAUGUUAAAAUAAUUAAAAUUUUACAACCACAAACUUAAGUUGGUUCCUACCUACUAUUUGUAUCAUGGCUAUUAUAAAUGGCCUCACUUGUAACAAAGUGGAGUAUGAGUUGAAGAAAUAAGAAAGAGGAAGUAGAGAGGCAUUUGUUAGUGGUCAGAGUAAAGGUCCAAGUGACGAAAUUGUAAUAUUUAUAAAGUUGAGUGAUCAAUUGUGUGAGUGAUCAAAAUACUAUCUUGUCGAUCCUAAAUUCCGCUACAUUUCCGCUUGCGCCCAACAACGAGGACACCCAGUCAGCACAUGCGGGGACGUGGUUGGCCCGACGAUGUGGAUAGUAGUCAUUGUGACGUCGGAAAAAGGAGACAUGAGCAUUCGUCCGUUAGAAAAUCGAGUUUCAAAGAUUCGUGGAGCCUCGUCGGAGUCUCGCCGAAAACUGGGGUCGAGGUCGACGGCGACUAGGUACUCGUCGGAGAAAAUGGGUGACCCCGCUGCAGCUUCAGAAACUAUACUGAUCGGACUAUAACUCAAGAAAGUUUGGUGAUCAUUCUGAAAGUCCGGAAAGUUAAGUAUCUGUUGUACAGAUUUUCUAAAUUCGGUAACUAAACUGUACUCUGUGGAAGUUGGGUGACUGAUCUGCAGUUAGCUGCUGUUCAUAACUGGUUCUGCAUUUUUGUUAAGCAGGUCAGCGGAAGGACGAUUUUGUCCCUGCAAAUUCAUAUUGUUGCAAAGGAGUAUUUGGAGCAUAACUCGACCAUUCGACCUUCAAAUGAGGCACCGUCAGAAGCUGUCGUUUUGUGGUAGCAAAAGGAAUCUUAUGAGAUGUCAGCUGAUGAACGAAUUUUACUCGUUAUCAAAAUAAACCGAUUAAUGAAUUAACCGAGUAGAAUCUCCUUAGGGUUUCUCUAAGUAUCUUACUCAAAAUUGUUAUUAAUACUAAUCAAAAUAUCAAUGAAUGUGGUUAAGGUGCCACGAGGAUCAAGCAAACAGUAAAAAAGAAAGAUGAAAAUUGCUUUAAAGUAAAUGAGAUGUAAGACACCACGAUAAGAGUUUAGACAAUCAAA